AAGGGUAUAACUCAAUGGUAGACUGCCAUGCUUAGCAUGCAUGAGGUCCUGGGUUCAAUCCCCAGUACCUCCA
Molecule: transfer RNA, 73 nt
Filed under: Camelus bactrianus (Bactrian camel)
Lineage: Eukaryota; Metazoa; Chordata; Mammalia; Artiodactyla; Camelidae
Also listed under: 1 other name
Rfam family: tRNA
About the family: Transfer RNA (tRNA) molecules are approximately 80 nucleotides in length. Their secondary structure includes four short double-helical elements and three loops (D, anti-codon, and T loops).
Source: Rfam by way of RNAcentral